This 1133-nucleotide long non-coding RNA is filed under the name Capra hircus (goat). Its description in RNAcentral is "lncRNA (ENSCHIG00000007006.1)". The record is from RNAcentral. Lineage: Eukaryota; Metazoa; Chordata; Mammalia; Artiodactyla; Bovidae.
CUGAGAGGGAAGUCUGAGCGUGCAGAUUUUAAAGGAACUUGACUUAUGGCAUCAAACCCCCUUAGGAUGCAGAGACCACCAACAUACUCCUUCCUGACUUCACUGUGCCCAAGUGGGAUGACAUAAGGGCUUCCCAGGUGGCGCUAGUGUUAAAGAACCCUCCUGCCGGUGCAGAAGACAUAAGAGACGCGGGUUUGAUCUUGGGAAGAUCCCCUGAAAGAGGGCAUGGCAAGCCACUCCAGUAUUCUUGCCUGGAGAAUCCCAUGGACAGAGGAGCCUGGCGGACUACGGUCCAUGGGGUCGCACAGAGUCGGACACGACGGAAGCCACGCGGCACACAUGCGUGCAAGAUGACAGUAAACAAGCCAUUUCUAUUUCCAGGACACCCGAUUUUUUAGCAUCUCAGGAAGCGUCAGAAGAUUCUCAGGGUUGUUGAAAGGCGGUGCAGGACCCAGAGGGAGAACAGACGAAAGCUGAAUUUCGCCGACGUGGAGAUGACCUGGGAGCUGAAGACCUGACUUUGGUUCCUGGUUUUUGCCUCUUCCCACCUCUUGGGCUUGACUCUUUUCUUUCUCUCGUCCCCCGAGGCCUCAGUUUCCCCGCCUGAAAUGUGCAGCCAGAACAAUUUGCUAAUCCAGUGCCCAUGGAUGGGCAGAAAAAAUAUUUUGAAUUCUCAUCACCUUUUUUUCCUUUGAAUGAACUUGUUUAUCCCGCUGGACAGGGUCGGAGAGAGUCGAGGAGGAGGAGCAGCGAGGGGAGUGCCAUCCAGCUAAGCUGACGUGACGCAUUAGAAGGUCUGACCCCCGGACAGAGGGCCGUGUUGUCGGGCCUCGGAGCACCCUUCUGGAAGCCGAUGGCCAGGUCUGAUGCAACCGUGCCAGGAACUCCUGGGCCUGAAGAUUGGCCUGCGUCAGACAGAGCAGAAGGCAGGCCCGGCUCCUGUCACCAAAAUCGGAUUUUCUUGCCCAUACAUGGCUUGGAGCAGCCUGACUCAGCCCCGUGGAAUGAUGGCAGGGAUUUAUUCCCGCUCAUCUGGAGGUAAACUCGUUUUUACCAGGGCCAUUCAACCACUGAAUCAGAGGGGAAGGGAGGAGGGAAGCAAGUUAUUUCUUGUUCAUGCAAAAGGAGGGUAA